CUUGAGACAGCACAGACCUUCCCAGAAGUCAGAGCUGGCCCGUAUGAGGCGGGAGACGCCGUCCACAGCCCCCUGACAGGAGCAGGACAGCUGGCCUUUACUCAACAGCCAGGGUGCUCCUCCACCUCGCCCCCCGCCCUGGGGCUGCCAUCGGGCCUGGAACCUACCGAGGGCCAGUGGGGCCAGGAGUUUUCAGGGGUGACAACAAGGCUCUCCUCUUAACGCACAUUGACUGACACCUACUUACAGCUCAUCAGCCUGGUAUCAGGCCGAGGACCCUGCACGCAGCGGCUCACAGCCCAUGGAGGAUCAGAGCCAGAGCCAGCUUAGCCCGGCUGUACUAGGCAGGGUGCUCCUGGAGCCUGCCAGUUCCAGGACCUGGAAGUCCGAGACCAGGUGCCAGGAUGGCUGAUUCUGGGGAGUCUUCUCUUCCUGUUUGCAACUGCCGAUUCCCACUGUGUCCACCCAUGGCAGGAGGAAACUCCAAGACCUCUGGAUGGGCCUGGGUUCUGCUUACGAAGGCAGAGAACUUCACUCAUUACGUGUGAAUGAUCGAUCCAGUCAGCAAAGAUUUAUAGGGAGUCUGCUCUGCGCCAGGCCUGGUUCCCGGAGUCUGGGAUAAUUAUUGGGAAAUAAAUUCAUCAAGAAGCUCUGGAAACCAACUGUGCAGCCUGAAAAGCGGCUGAAAAUGUGCUGCCUUGGCCCUGACCAUCUGUGGCCUGUGCGAGGCUGGCAGAUCUCAGGACCUGCAGCAAGGGCCAGGCCCUUUGUACCCCAGAAGACAAUGUCCUUGCAGCCGGUCCUUGUAUAUAGCUAUAGAGAUCCCGCCCUGCACUCCAGCCCUGGGCUGACACCAGCAGAACGACAGGAGAGCAGUGCAGGGAACUGGGGUCCUCACUCUGUCCUGUCACACAGAUCUCAGCCUCUGGUGCCUGACUCUCCUUUAGGGACUGUACCUGUCACCUCUUCAGUAUAAGCAUCUUUCUCUGCACUGAGGAAACCCCAGGCCUCUUCUGAGCAAGUGAAAGUCAUCAGACCCUAGCAGGAUCUUCCCUGCUCCAUCAGCUGCCCAGUUCAGUACUCGGGAACCGCCAGCAUCCCCAGCGGUUUGUCUCAGAGUCCGAUAAUGUCAUGAGGGUCUAGUCCAAGGCUGUUUCUGGUCUUGGCGCAGGAGAAGCAGGGUGAUGGGCAGGAUAGCUCAGGACGGGUGCUUUCCUAGGUCUCCUCACCAGGGCACAGGCACAUGGCUUCCUGGCUCUUUCAGGGCAGCAAAUGUGAUGAUUCUUCCCCUCACUCCACAUGUGCGCGCGCACGCACACACACACACACACACACGCACACGCACUCAUUGUCCAAGCACAAGGAUUCAUUCCCAGCCGGGACUGUAUUGGAGGGGUGUAAAUUGUUUUUCUCUUUGCACACAUCCUGCCCAGCUCUGGGCCCAGGGCAGAGCAGUGGAAUCCCCUUUGUUCUUCCUCUGGUAACCCAGACUGUUCCCCUGCCGUGUAAAAAGAACAGGACCCAUUAAGACCGCCCACCCACCCUAAGGCCCUUGCCUCAUCCCCAGACGGCGCAGAAGCUCCAUUAUUCUCUCCUCUACAUCUCGGGUCAGGUCACAUUCUUGGGAUCUUUUCUACGCUUGUCUAAACAACCCCUAGGGGCUGUGCUCAUCCAGUUAGGCAGGCCGUGAAAGGAUCAUUUUCCCCGGAUUACUCCGCGGAAUAUAAAUGCUGCGAGUAAAGUGAAAGGGAGGCGGUGUGCUGGGCGCUCAUUAGGGUACAAUCCAGGCAAACGGUGCUCAGACCUCUGGGGGCUAUGUCUGGGUCUCCAGGGUCACGCUCUGCCCAGCCGCGAUGCAGUCAUCCCUGUUGCCCACUGUCUCCCAGCUAGACUCGAACCUGAGGCCCAGCAGUUAACGAGCAUGACCUGAGAGUGAGUGGUCUCUGCACGCACUGGGAGAUCCCCACUUCAUAGCCCAGCCACAGGCCACUGCCUCCAACUGCCCCUGUGUGUGUGUAUGUGUGCGCAUGCACCACACACGUGCUAACUAGGUCCAACUCUGAACACCCGGAAUCAGGGUCAGCCGGCAGCUUGGUGGUUUCAGCUAUUUUCAAAAUAUGUAGAAGAUUCUAGUUCCUGGCUAAGAUUUAUUGUGAGAUAGGAGGACUCAAGAAGCUAGGGAUAUAGCACAAUGGCACAGCGCCUGCCUGGCAAGCAUGAGGUUAUGAGUUCAAUUCUUGGUACCAAAAACAAGUAACCCAGAGCCCUCCCUGGGAUGGCGCACCAAGCCACUAGGGAGAGAUGUUUGUUUUCCUGGAGUAUCCCAGGCAACAGGCAGGAAAUCCCAAACUUUUCUUAGCUUUCAGGUUCCAGGGUGAAAAGUCCCUGAGGGCAGUUGAUAACCACUCCACGGUGCUCUGCUCUAGAGUUGGAGGAUCUGGUUUUCCUGUUGGGGAACCUUGUCUUCCAGAAGCAUCCCCCGCCCUUUCCAGAGCAGAUGAAGCCUGCACCGCCGUGGCUGAGGAAGCAGACUGCACACCGAGACCUCUGUGCGGCUGUCCACAGAAAGCUAAUGGGCUGGAGUGUGACCAUGCAUACAAGAAGGCAGCCUGUCCACACCGGAAAUGGUGUCCUGGAUUCCGGGAGGGCCUCUUGGCAGAAGUACAUUACAAGGGCCUCACAAGGAAAGCUGGGCUCAGCCAGACUCGAGGUCUGGGGGUGUCUGUGUUGCAAACAGAGUGAGGAAGUUAGCAGCAUGAAGCCUCAGGCGCCUCGGGGUGGCCUGGAGCUGCUGCCAGGUGUGGGCUUUGAAGGGAGAGCCAUAACCAUGCUUGUCCUGAAACAUAGCGCUGGCAGCCAGGGGCUUUGAACACAUCCUCAGGCUCCCGGGGACUCCCCACAGAUGCGGGAGAGCAGAGGUCCCCCAGCACGGGGGCUCAGCCCUGCCAGAGGAGCAGCUGGUGUCUGGGAAGGUCUGAUUUGUCAUGCAGUGCUUGGAGUCAUCCAUGACAUCAGAGGGUCCUGAGGAGAAUGCAGCCCCCUCGACACCUCUCCAAGAAGCCGUAUCCUAGGACCAGCAACAUUUUUGGUGAAAGCACGUCUACCCUUCCCAUUUUGCAGUUCCUAAACCAACUAGAAGUCUAAGUGGUUUAAAGAAUCCACCAGUCAUCAGGAUUGAGCAGAGGGUUGCAUUGUUCUGCUUCUUAAUUUUUUCAUAUGACAAGUGAGGGUGAUAUAACUAUGUGCUCCUAGGACUGCCUGAGCACAGGCUGUGCACAUGUGUGUGUACAGGGGUGCGUGCAUGUAUGUGUGUGUGCACAUGUGUGAUUUUACACAUGCUGUCAUCUGAUCUCCAUCGGCCACUGAGCCAGUGUGUUUAGGUCCGGCGAAUCGGUUGCUGUCUCUGGCUUGAAAUUUAGCAAAGUAAAACACUUGCCUGAUGAGACACUGGGCCUCUAACCCUCUGGGCUCUCAGGGUCAUGGGGCCAGAGCGCUCAGAGCAGUGUCCUAGUGGGAGGUGUUGGAGCUGCAGCUGAGUGACCUCUUGUAAAUGACACCUCAGAGCUGCAGAGCAGGCUUCUUGUCUGGGAGGCUCACGUGUGUGUGGUCACACACUCUCUCACACUCAGUGCAAGCUGCCUCAGAGGAUGAAGACCCGUGUGAAUCUACCUGGAAUUCUAGGUUCUGGCCCGGGUUAGCAUUGGAGAGUCACUCCACAGGACAAAACCCCACAAAACUCAGCAAUACCACACUGCCAAUGUCCUGAAAAUGUACCAGGCCCGUUCCAGAUAUUCCUCAGGUCUUUACCCAGGACAGGCAGGUUGGUAACCAAAGGAUCUUAAGAACUCGGUGCUGGAGACGAGCAAGGCCGGAGGAGGAAGGCAGCCUUCCUAGCCCUAUGUGGCCUCGGGCAGGAACCCUGCCUCUCUGGGCUUCAGUUUUCCGUCUGUGAAAUGAAGGAGUGGACUCCAUGACUGCAGGAAUCCCCGUCACUUUUGGUAGUGGAUUAAAAACAAAAUCAAUGAUAUCUGACAGACGAUAAUUCCGAAGGUGACACUUACUUUGAAGUUGUAAAAUUCUGCUCCCUAAUUACUGGCUUGAACACUGUUAUGGAUUAAGAACUGGUGGUCAACUUAAAGCCAGCUGGAUUACAUCAGCAUGGCACUGAGAGAAGAUGCUCCACCUGAGGAAAGUUGCCAGGAUAGGUGGAGAGGAAGGGAGGCGUUGAGCAGGCAUUGUGUGUUCUCCUACGAGUUACUGUCUGAGCUGUUGGUUCUCCUGGAGAAGCCUUGGUCCUCACAUCAAGCAUUGCUUCCUGGCUCCGGAGGGGAAGACAUGUGUUGCUUGGUCUCCAGGAUGAACUCCUUACACUGCUUCCUGGCACGUACCUGGCUGUGCUUGUCGUCAGAGGAGCUCAGGACCUCCAUGUCACUGAGGAUGGCUGUGGUGCCUUUCAGGACAGCCCUGGUCUUUGUUGUGAGUUUGACUUCUCGGCUCCAGCGUAGAACCCUCAUCCCACCAGCACAGCUCCUUCAUCCUGCUGGCAUAGACUUUCUGGCUUCCACCGCUGACCCUUGGGUCUUCCCAGCACGGAUCCGUAAGAGACUGGUGUGAGUCCUUCUUGUGGGCUCUGGAGCUCUAGUUGGACUUGUGGGAGGCAUUGUCCUGAGCUCUGGGUUUUUAUCUGGACUCAUGUGGGACAUUGCUGUGGGAUUUAGGCUCUUGACUAAAUAUUCUAUGUCUUUGGCGUGGCAGAUAGAUUUCCUGCAUUUUCCUGUGUUAACUCCCGGUGACCAUUACAAAAAUAAUAUUAUAAACUCCAUGCCUUGAUCCUAAUUGUUCUCUGUAUACAACCCCUGACUACAACAAACACCCAUUUUUAGUUUUCUAAAAAUCCUUUGCAAAGGCUCAGAGUGACACGGAGCUGCCUUUAAAACUCCAAUGUGUGUUGCUUCUCUGAGGGAGCCCUGCCAGGAGAGCUCAGAGGACACAGAGACCUGUGUGUCCCACUCUCCGGACACCUGGAAGCUCUAAGAGGCAGCCUUCCGGGGACGCCCAGCCCCAACAGGCUGACCUGACCCAGUGCCCUCUAACUGAACUAUGUACCGGCACCCCACACAUGUCCUUUUUUUCCCUUUUUUUCUUUUGAUUUUUUGAGACAGGUUCUCACUGUGUAGCCCAGGCAGGCCUUAAAACCACAGAAAUUCUCCUGUCUCAACCUCCUGAAGGAAGGCUGGGAUUACAAACUUGCUCCACGACACCCAGCCUAACCCUGCCUUACCCUGCCUUCUUGAACUCAAAUGGUGUCUUAAGCACUGGCCUAGGGAAGGAGGAGGGGCCUGGCCAAUCCUAGCAUGAUCUGAAUAGCAGGAGUCAGAGGCCAGCUCAGAGAUCCACCCCAGACACCGGUUUCCAGCUCAUGCUCCGCAAUCAGACUUGUCUGCUUCCAAACAAGAUGCGUGGUCGAACGGCCUUGCCUUCUGCCUUCUGCUGGGGACUGGAGCACAGCACACCUGAGUCUGGAGACUCUCAGGCCACAGGUGCCCCACAGCCAGCUCCAGAGCCUGUUUCCGAGUCACUUGGGAAACCCUGCUGACGGGAACAGGCCUUCACCCAGCCACCAACCCUGGCCACGACACUACCCAGGCCCUGGCAAGGUCCAGGUUACCAGGCGCUCAAGGUCAAGGGCUGCUUUCUGAAAACCGCAAUCUUCAGAACAGUGACCACAGAGGGGUUCACCGGUGUGAGAAUUUCUACACUGCACCCCCUGUCUGAUAUGAUUUUUUUUGUCAACAGGAAAGUUUAAAAAAAAAAAAAAAAAAAGAGCCAACCUUCAACAAUAACCUCCCUUCCAGUCUAACCCCGCAGUCUGAUUAGGCUUGGCUGCUACCCCCAUGCCAGGAGAACCAGUUUGCCCAGACCUAAGGUGAUUACCCAGUCACUUGUGGCAGGGUCGAUGAACUCUUGCAGAACUCUUGCAGAAAUGCAGCUCUGGGCCAUCUUGGGGGAGUGGGGCAGAUGACCAAGUCUCCUGUCUCCUUUGCUGAGCUGUGUAAGGGACAGAGACUUCUUCAUUGGGUUACAGAUUCAGCCACUAAGCACUGAGCCUAACAAGCGCGCACACAGGACUAGGGGUGGGUGGAUCCUUUUAAGCACAGGUUUGUUGGCUGCUUAAGGGUGGUCUCCAUCCAUCUGCGACUGUAUCCACCAAGUAAGGCUAGACAGGCCCUCCACGGCUUUGUGCCCUGGCCACCUGCUGCUCAGGAGUCACUGUGCCCCCUCCCAGGGCUGCGGUUUCUGUUACCACCUCCUGUGAGACCUGAAUGGGGAGCAGGACUUGCCAAUCUAACCUGCCAAAUGCAUCCCAUGUGAUUCCCAGAAUCUGCAGUUUCUCAAGGGCCCUUUUUUCACUUAAGGCAGGAUUCAGGAAUCCACCAGUCACUAAGCACCUGCCAGCACUAAGCACUGGGCACCUGCCUGACUUAGCUGCCAGAUGCUAGGGGUGCAAAAAUUAGUAUGACCUGGGACCCCAAUGAGCUUGAAAGGCUGAAAAGUCCUUCAUAAACAAGAGCUGUUGUUCCUGUCAGGCAUGCAACACAAUGUUUUCCACUUCUACUCUGUGUCCAAAGCACUGAGAUGAAUCCACUUGUAGGAAGCUGAUCGCAAUUUAUUGAAGACUUAAAGUAAGCUAGGAACCGCACAGAUGCUUGGUUUGAUCUCGUUUACUUGUUAGAAUUAUUUUACCAAUAAAGAAGUUGAGAAAGCAGAGCGUACAAGUAAUUGGCCCAAGAAUGUACAGAUAGUAGCAGAGCAGGACUCUUGAAUUUCCUGCUGAACCACCCUGUCUGUCCUGCAGCAGGAGAUGAAUCAUGCGAUGGGGAGCCUGAUGGCGGAGCAAGGGACAUCACUUCCUGCUCCCUCUUUCUUGAGGCCCCCAGCAAACCCCGUGAGCUUGGAUCUCUCUGUCACAGCUGAGGUAGAAGGGUUACAAGUGUCCGAGGGAGAACUGAGGACCUGGCGUUGCCACGCCUGACCUGCCCUGCACUCACGGUUAUGCUGAGUUCUGAGCUCACCUGGUCAGCUGAAGAGACUGCCCACCAUCUGAUCACCGUUACGGAACGGGCCCCCUUUGUACCAGCCGAUGUGGCAAGCAACCAGCCGUAUAAUUUAUCAUUUUUACCCAUUACCCAUAAAGUGAAAACUUUGAACAAUUCUUGCCUGGCACAGCGGAACCUACCUCAGGGAAGCCAAGCUGGCUCACUUAUCUUGUGUUACUGAGGGCACUCCGUUUGGGUUCCCAUUUAGCCCUCAGUUCUAGACAUUCUGGGAGGAAAUCUGUAGUCACAAGAUUGCUCAGGCUUAAGGCAGGGUGCUGAAUGGAUCUUCCCAUUUGCAGAGUCUACCCGGUUAUGCAGCCAAAUAUCUGACUUCUCCAUAUUUGGCCACCACUGAAUAGUGUAUAUGUUUUUUUUUUUGUUUGUUUGUUUUUUUUUUUUUUUUUGGCACUCGCAUAAGUAAUACUUUUUAUACUGCAAGUCUCAUUUAAAACUUUUCUACCAUGAAACAGCAAAUGCGUUCCUGCAUUCCGUUUAGGUGCCUCUAGAAGUCUUUAAAUAUUUAUCCAAAGGUCAAACAAGCUCUGGAAUUAAGUGGAAUCAGUCAUUAGCAAAGUGAAGAGAGACCUGUUUCUCCCAGCACUCGUUCCUUCCCUUUUCGGGACCGACAGAAGGAACAUGACUCUGGUGACAGCUGGAGGACAGAGAUAACAGAAUCAUAAAAGCCCAGGCUGCUUCCCUGUCCCUCACACUACCCUUCCAGGUCACGAUUUCCAAAAUGAAAAGGGUGAGCCAGCCGCGCCAGGCUUCUGCCCAAGAGUCCUAAACUUUGCCCAGCUUUUGCUGACACCUGAAGCCCAAGCAGCCAGCCAAGUGGCUCUUCCUAGGAGACCUGCAGCCCCGGAACACACGCCUGCCAUCUGUUUGCCCAAGGACUGCUGAGACUGCUUCCCCAGGGACCUUUCUGGACAACUACACUUUCAUGGGGUCCUACUAUGUCAAGCACUGUACGAGCAUGAAGUACACCCCGAAGAAGAAGCAGCCGUGGCGUCUCCUCCUGCCGUGGAGCUGAGGAUUCAUCUCCUCCCACUUGUUACCCUUCCCAGACUGUCGCUGCCCUUCUCCGAGGCUUCCAUUGCCACCUGUCUCCAAGGGCUUCUGCUUUCCUGAGUUAACCUGGAAACCUGUCCAACUGGGCCAGCACCUGAGAGGCAUUGUGACUUAGAGCCGAGUCCAUAUCCACGUAAAGAGGCGGUUUGAUACAGAACCUUGACUCCACCCAGAGCGCCUGCGCGCUGCAGGCACUGGGUCCUGUCCCAGAUGAGGUCACCACGGUGGGAACCCCCACCACGCCCCUGCCCUUGCUGCCUCUUUCCACGUGGAAAAUAUUCUUCCCUUCUGUCUCCAAAGCACUGCCAAAGCCAGGUCAGAAAACCUAGCAAGGCUUAAUUAAAAGUUUCAAAAGGAUAGAGCUGAUGAUCUAGCAAGUGUAACCUGUGGUUGGGUAUGGUUUCCCCGCUAGUCUUGAUAGCACUCCUGGGAUCUAGCAAGGCGUCACCUUCCCUCCCCUCUCCACACACCAUUGCUCCCCAGAAGCACACAGCAAGUGAACUCUCUUUCCCUGCUACUUAAAGUCCACUUUAUAAUACUACAUAUGGUUCUAGUCUAGGGCUCAUUUCUCAGGAAGAUUAUUGGUGUGAUGCAAUCUCCUCCAUUCAGGGUGACUGCUCACACCCACCUUUCUGUGUGACCUGAACAGACACACCAGUCUAAUGCUGCACAGAAAAUAUACAGAUUAUGGUACAGAUGGUGAUUGAGGAUGGAGACCAUUUGCAAAGAUAUUCAGCAUUCAAUAUGUAUAAAACCAAACUCAAUAUGUCUUUCCAGUGCCCUUUGCCCAGAUCUGCAUGCUUCUUUAAUCUUCUUUUGAGUGGCAUAAAAGUCAUGCAGGCCAGAGUGCCAGCAGUCACCAUGGUGUGUCCCCCACUCAAAUUUUCAUGCCCUCUGUCUCCUAAAUGUCCUUUGAGUCUGCUCCAUCCCCUCAUGUCCAAACCUUGGUCUGGGCUGUCCACCUCUAUUCAGUCAGGGCAAAGGCCCCCCCACUGAUCUUCCUGCCUCCCCCAAAACAUCCCAUGCCUGCAAGUCAGGACGAUCCUUCUCAAAUUAUAAUCCCAGUACAGAUACAGGAUCAUUGCCGGGACCCAGACUGCCUGCACGUGAAUCUGUAGGACUUUUGUGACUGUGAGCUACUAUCUUACCUGCCCUGUGUCCCCAUCUCUUUAUCAGCAAAAUGAGGAGGAUAAACCUACCCAAGAGUUUCAGCCAGUUUUGAUUAGCUGCUCCCCAAGUAGCUUCCAAUUACCUACCCCACUCCACCCCAGUAUCCUGCCUGUGCAUAAUCUCUUCCACUGAGUGUGAUUGGACCCAAAUGCUUGCAUCUAAUAAAUAGAAUUCAGCAAAAGUAAGAGGAUAUCACUCUUUGAUUAUAAAAGAGUGUUAUAAAAGACAGGGGCUUCCAUGGCACCCAGCUCCCUCUGGCCCCUAUUCCGUGCUGAAGAAGCCAGCUGCCAUGGUAGGAGCUGCCCUCUGGAGACAUCCACAUGGCCUCAGCCAACCCGGAGCUGACUCCUGCCAGCAGCCAUGUCAGGUCCUUCCCAGGGACCCUGAGGUGAAACCAACCCAACCAGCCCUCAGCGGCAGCAUGGUGAGAAACCCUGAGCCAGAAGAUUGGCUCAACUGAGCCUGAAUUCCGGGGAUCACAGGUGUGUGCCGCCACACCCCGCUCCAUCACUAGGAUUAUCACUGCUGUGUGGCACACUAAUGGACUGAAAAUUCUAGAGGCAAGAGAUGGUGCCUGUGUGUCUGCUGCAUCUUCCUGGUAGACUGGGGCCUGAGAGUCUUCUAGUCAGGAAUAAACACUGAUGACCAAACAGCAGGCUGGUCUCCAACUCCCAAUGAUCCUCCUGCCUCAGCCUCCUGAGUGCUGGGAUUACAGAUGUGCAAUACCACUCACGGCCUAAUUUUUCUUGACUGAAGAACUGCAUGCCAGAGGGGACAAAAGUAGAAAGUAGCUCUCACCCCAAAGAGAGGAGGCUCCACAGUAAUAAAAGAAACUACACACAUCAUCAAUGUGUCAGUGGUCCGUUUGUCCACCCCUUCGCUCCCCUAAGAGUUCUUCGAUCCA
Long non-coding RNA from Cavia porcellus (domestic guinea pig), 10239 nucleotides. RefSeq lists it as uncharacterized. The record is from RefSeq and is a predicted model, not a curated record. Lineage: Eukaryota; Metazoa; Chordata; Mammalia; Rodentia; Caviidae. The transcript has 5 exons.